UUGUUAAAUGAUACAUAUCCUGACAGAAUUUCUUGUAUUCUUAGUUCCUAAAUAUCUUAAAAUUUGAGGAAACCUAAUGGAACUGUGAGUGUGAAAAAUAAUCCCGGUUGUAAAAAAAAACAGCCACGAAUGAAAAUAAUGAGCUUUUUGUAUUUCUAAAUGCACAAAAAAAGCUCAAGAGCUUUCAAUGGAUAAUAGAUCUGUCAGAAGGGUAUUGGUUGAAUUUCCGAAAAUAUGGGUGGGAAGAAGAAGUCAUAUUAAGUGGCCGACAAGUUCGUUGGAUUUAUCUCUACUAUAUUAUUUUCUUUGGAGCUAUUUGAAAUAUAUGGUUCACAAGAAUCCAGCACCAACCCUCAAGAACUAUAAUAUCAAAUCACAGCCAAUGUUUCAUGUUGUCAGAUCUACUUUGAAAUAAAACAUUGAUGAGUAUGUA
Diorhabda carinulata is the source of this 433-nucleotide long non-coding RNA. RefSeq lists it as uncharacterized. NCBI's taxonomy places the organism in Eukaryota, Metazoa, Arthropoda, Insecta, Coleoptera, Chrysomelidae. The record is from RefSeq and is a predicted model, not a curated record. The transcript is spliced from 2 exons.